Molecule: ribosomal RNA, 253 nt
Filed under: uncultured bacterium
Lineage: Bacteria
Description: partial 16S ribosomal RNA
Rfam family: Bacterial small subunit ribosomal RNA
Source: RNAcentral
UACAGAGGUCUCAAGCGUUGUUCGGAUUCAUUGGGCGUAAAGGGUGCGUAGGCGGCGCGGUAAGUCGGGUGUGAAAUCUCGGAGCUUAACUCCGAAACUGCAUUCGAUACUGCCGUGCUUGAGGACUGGAGAGGAGACUGGAAUUUACGGUGUAGCGGUGAAAUGCGUAGAUAUCGUAAGGAAGACCAGGGGCGAAGGCGGGUCUCUGGACAGUUCCUGACGCUGAGGCACGAAGGUCAGGGGAGCAAACGGG